This 532-nucleotide ribosomal RNA is filed under the name Nectriaceae sp. bc_besc_342b. Its description in RNAcentral is "eukaryotic LSU rRNA". The stretch from base 161 to 314 matches the Rfam family "5.8S ribosomal RNA". The record is from RNAcentral. Lineage: Eukaryota; Fungi; Ascomycota; Sordariomycetes; Hypocreales; Nectriaceae.
GGAUCAUUACCGAGUUUACAACUCCCAAACCCCUGUGAACAUACCUUAAUGUUGCCUCGGCGGAUCAGCCCGCGCCCCGUAAAACGGGACGGCCCGCCAGAGGACCCAAACUCUAAUGUUUCUUAUUGUAACUUCUGAGUAAAACAAACAAAUAAAUCAAAACUUUCAACAACGGAUCUCUUGGUUCUGGCAUCGAUGAAGAACGCAGCAAAAUGCGAUAAGUAAUGUGAAUUGCAGAAUUCAGUGAAUCAUCGAAUCUUUGAACGCACAUUGCGCCCGCUGGUAUUCCGGCGGGCAUGCCUGUUCGAGCGUCAUUUCAACCCUCAAGCCCCCGGGUUUGGUGUUGGGGAUCGGCUCUGCCCUUCUGGGCGGCGCCGCCCCCGAAAUACAUUGGCGGUCUCGCUGCAGCCUCCAUUGCGUAGUAGCUAACACCUCGCAACUGGAACGCGGCGCGGCCAUGCCGUAAAACCCCAACUUCUGAAUGUUGACCUCGGAUCAGGUAGGAAUACCCGCUGAACUUAAGCAUAUCAAA